AUGCUGCAGACAAGUUCAGACUCCGGCUUUAGGAAAGGAAGGUUCUGCCUUGUUCAAGAUUUCUUUGUCCAAUCACCAAAAAACAUGUUUGGAGUUGUGUGUGCAAGGUUUAUGAUGAAUACCACACCUUGGACCGAGAUUCAGGUCCAGCCUGAGGUACUGACAUAUUUCCCACGAUAUGCAUAUUCACAAUUUUUGGUUGCCGAGUUGCAGUUCGAGUGAAAUUUAAAUUUUUUUUCCUAUGAAUUGCUCAGCUACAGUUGCAAAGAUGAAUUUUCUUAGUGCUAAAGAAAAAGGAAUACAUUAUUUGGACCAUCUUUUUAGGUGCAAUUUUUUAUACUGAUGUGGUAUUAAUUUCAUAAGUUUGAAUCUCAUUCAAAUUUGAUACCCAAUAUGAUUUCUUGGUCAAACUAAGAAGCUCAUGUUACAAGGACGUCCACUGGGUGUUACUAGCAACAACAAUUUGACUGAAUCAGAAGAUGCCGAGUACUCCAACUCCAUUGGAACUGAAGAAAUGAAAUUGCACUCCCUAUCUGCCACAGCAGAGGUGCCUCUUACUCUGCCCAUGAUUGCUGCCACACCAAUACCCCUGGUUGAACAGUCCCGAGAAGUCGGUGAAGAUGUUGGAUCCAAUGGAAAGAAGAAUGGCAAAAUAAAUUCAGUUGCUACCACCUUUUGUGUGGCAUCAUUAAGUUCAUAUAUGUGCUUAGCUAACAAUUUACUCCGUCCGUCCCAAAAUAUAAGAUGUUAAUAACAUCUUAUAUCACGUAACUGAGAGAGUACAUUGUAACUACAGUGGAGACUGGAGAAACAGAUCGAAAAAAUCAAUCUAGCCAAAAGAAACUGCUCAUGAAUACCUAGCUUGCGCCUUCAUCUACCAUAAGACAUCGCCUCGUGAAGAUCUUGGAUUUGCGAGGAUUGGAAGAACCUAGCUUGCGCCUUCAUCUACCAAUAAUUACUUUACAGCUACAUUAGAAAGUUUAUUGUCAUGUA
This is a long non-coding RNA of Lolium rigidum, 993 nucleotides long. RefSeq lists it as uncharacterized. The record is from RefSeq and is a predicted model, not a curated record. NCBI's taxonomy places the organism in Eukaryota, Viridiplantae, Streptophyta, Magnoliopsida, Poales, Poaceae. The transcript is spliced from 3 exons.